This 30-nucleotide non-coding RNA is filed under the name Mus musculus (house mouse). Lineage: Eukaryota; Metazoa; Chordata; Mammalia; Rodentia; Muridae. The record is from RNAcentral.
UGUUUUUCAACAUGAGCAACGGAUGUCAGC